Molecule: ribosomal RNA, 305 nt
Filed under: uncultured bacterium
Lineage: Bacteria
Description: bacterial SSU rRNA
Rfam family: Bacterial small subunit ribosomal RNA
Source: RNAcentral
AACCUACGGGGCGCAGCAGUGGGGAAUAUUGGGCAAUGGGCGCAAGCCUGACCCAGCAACGCCGCGUGAAGGAAGAAGGCUUUCGGGUUGUAAACUUCUUUUACCAGGGACGAAGAAAGUGACGGUACCUGGAGAAUAAGCCACGGCUAACUACGUGCCAGCAGCCGCGGUAAUACGUAGGUGGCGAGCGUUGUCCGGAUUUACUGGGUUUAAAGGGUGCGUAGGCGGAAUGCCAAGUCAGCGGUAAAAUCGCGGGGCUCAACCUCGCUCCGCCGUUGAAACUGGCGUUCUUGAGUGGGCGAGAA